AGGAUGCUGUGCUUGUAAUGGGAGGCGUUGUUGGGAGAUGUGGUGGACAGGAAGGCAAGACCAGCAGGGUUCCGAUAGAACACUCUGGACAAAAAUCUGAUGCUUUGGCUGCAUGCAAACCUCUAUGCCACCGACUAACAGCCAGAGGUUUCUAUUAGUUGGAUUGUCCAGAGAAAAGCAAGACAUGAAGUCAGACUAAUGUAGCUGACUGGCGGUGGCAGCCCAAGACCUCAGCCCACCAGGUCAGCCGAGACCCCCCAACCCCCCGCCAUGGCAUCAGCUCACUCUCAGAGGAGGGCAGGUGCCCUCCUCUGACCACACUUGUGAGAAUCACAGCCUCUCCAGAUUGGAUUGCUGUCUUGGCUUUGGUCUUUGAGGUGUUCUGGAGCUCGUUCCAGCCCCCACAGGUUGUCAUGGUGCCUGCUGCUCAAAGUUGUGAUUGGUCAGAGCUGCAGAUUGUCUCCAUGGCAAUAGAAAGGAUCUGUGCAGAAAGGACGCUUGGCCUUGGAAAUGAACUCAUGGGAACACUCCUGGGAAAUGAGCCUCCUCUGCAGGGAGAGAGUGGGGGCGAGGGGAGGGAGGCCAGCAGAGAUACUCCCCGCUAGAGACAGAUGCUGGCUCUCUUCAGCCCGGCUACCCACCCUGGUGGCCCAACUCCCCAACUGCACGUUGCUGCUGUGCUCAUAGCCAGAGGAUGUCGACUUCAAAUUCCUGGCUGUACCAAAUAAAGUGCAAGUCAGGAAAGCAGAGUUGAGGCAGGGUCACGUGUCCGUUCAGUGGCCCACAGACGCUCUCUCUGCCCACUCCGCUGCUUUUGACCCUCUUCCUUCCCAAGUCCACACAGUUCAGCCUCUCUCCAACCCUGACCUGACCCUGGACCACUCAAACGGCUGAAAAUAAUGUCCUUCCUCCCCCCAUAAGACCUUCAAAAAUGAAAUAAACAUCCACUAGUUCCCAGUC
Mesocricetus auratus (golden hamster) is the source of this 960-nucleotide long non-coding RNA. RefSeq lists it as uncharacterized. The record is from RefSeq and is a predicted model, not a curated record. The transcript has 2 exons. Lineage: Eukaryota; Metazoa; Chordata; Mammalia; Rodentia; Cricetidae.